AGCAGAAGAAGAAGAACACUUCUAUCUCCGCCGCCGCCGUCGUCUUCAUCAUCAUCGCCGCCGUUAAAUGGGUGAGCCUAAAGACAGUCUCGCUCUCUUCCUCUGCCAC
Molecule: small RNA, 109 nt
Filed under: Arabidopsis thaliana (thale cress)
Lineage: Eukaryota; Viridiplantae; Streptophyta; Magnoliopsida; Brassicales; Brassicaceae
Description: ATSL237670
Source: RNAcentral